This 715-nucleotide ribosomal RNA is filed under the name Streptomyces sp. B1Y71. RNAcentral's name for it is "bacterial SSU rRNA". It matches the Rfam family "Bacterial small subunit ribosomal RNA", at positions 66 to 798 of the family's 1533-position model. The record is from RNAcentral. Lineage: Bacteria; Bacillati; Actinomycetota; Actinomycetes; Kitasatosporales; Streptomycetaceae.
ACGAUGAACCACUUCGGUGGGGAUUAGUGGCGAACGGGUGAGUAACACGUGGGCAAUCUGCCCUUCACUCUGGGACAAGCCCUGGAAACGGGGUCUAAUACCGGAUACGAGUUUCACAGGCAUCUGUGAUUCUGGAAAGCUCCGGCGGUGAAGGAUGAGCCCGCGGCCUAUCAGCUUGUUGGUGAGGUAAUGGCUCACCAAGGCGACGACGGGUAGCCGGCCUGAGAGGGCGACCGGCCACACUGGGACUGAGACACGGCCCAGACUCCUACGGGAGGCAGCAGUGGGGAAUAUUGCACAAUGGGCGAAAGCCUGAUGCAGCGACGCCGCGUGAGGGAUGACGGCCUUCGGGUUGUAAACCUCUUUCAGCAGGGAAGAAGCGAAAGUGACGGUACCUGCAGAAGAAGCGCCGGCUAACUACGUGCCAGCAGCCGCGGUAAUACGUAGGGCGCAAGCGUUGUCCGGAAUUAUUGGGCGUAAAGAGCUCGUAGGCGGCUUGUCACGUCGGGUGUGAAAGCCCGGGGCUUAACCCCGGGUCUGCAUUCGAUACGGGCUAGCUAGAGUGUGGUAGGGGAGAUCGGAAUUCCUGGUGUAGCGGUGAAAUGCGCAGAUAUCAGGAGGAACACCGGUGGCGAAGGCGGAUCUCUGGGCCAUUACUGACGCUGAGGAGCGAAAGCGUGGGGAGCGAACAGGAUUAGAUACCCUGGUAGUCCAC